AUUGAACGCUGGCGGCAUGCCUUACACAUGCAAGUCGAACGGUAACAGGUCUUCGGAUGCUGACGAGUGGCGAACGGGUGAGUAAUACAUCGGAACGUGCCCAGACGUGGGGGAUAACGAGGCGAAAGCUUUGCUAAUACCGCAUACGAUCUAAGGAUGAAAGCAGGGGACCGCAAGGCCUUGUGCGUUUGGAGCGGCCGAUGGCAGAUUAGGUAGUUGGUGGGAUAAAAGCUUACCAAGCCGACGAUCUGUAGCUGGUCUGAGAGGACGACCAGCCACACUGGGACUGAGACACGGCCCAGACUCCUACGGGAGGCAGCAGUGGGGAAUGUUGGACAAUGGGCGAAAGCCUGAUCCAGCAAUGCCGCGUGCAGGAUGAAGGCCUUCGGGUUGUAAACUGCUUUUGUACGGAACGAAAAGGCUCUGGCUAAUACCUGGGGCACAUGACGGUACCGGAAGAAUAAGCACCGGCUAACUACGUG
This 482-nucleotide ribosomal RNA is filed under the name uncultured bacterium. Its description in RNAcentral is "partial 16S ribosomal RNA". It matches the Rfam family "Bacterial small subunit ribosomal RNA", at positions 30 to 507 of the family's 1533-position model. The record is from RNAcentral.